This 162-nucleotide ribosomal RNA is filed under the name uncultured bacterium. RNAcentral's name for it is "partial 16S ribosomal RNA". It matches the Rfam family "Bacterial small subunit ribosomal RNA", at positions 355 to 509 of the family's 1533-position model. The record is from RNAcentral.
UAGGGAAUCUUCCACAAUGGGCGCAAGCCUGAUGGAGCAACACCGCGUGAGUGAAGAAGGGUUUCGGCUCGUAAAGCUCUGUUGUUGGAGAAGAACGUGCGUGAGAGUAACUGUUCACGCAGUGACGGUAUCCAACUAGAAAGUCACGGCUAACUACGUGCC